Molecule: non-coding RNA, 5405 nt
Organism: Sus scrofa (pig)
Lineage: Eukaryota; Metazoa; Chordata; Mammalia; Artiodactyla; Suidae
Source: RefSeq, a predicted model, not a curated record
GGGAGCUGUUGAUGUCUGAAACCCACAGCUGGACUCCCUCUUUCCCUGCUGUCUGUUGAGCCGGUAAACGCAGUGGGGUGAAGCCGGUUGAGGGGGAUUUGAGCCUCACUUUCCUCACCUUCCCCCAUGGUUGAGGAAGAUUUCUCUCUCAGGGGAUUAUACCCUCUUUUAAUUAAUCUCUUCUCCUACCCUCGACUGUUCUGCUGAGAAAAGGGCAGGGUCUCUUCCCUUCUCCGGGUUCUGUUGGCUGGGACUGCAGGGCUGUCUGAGAAGCAGCAGGGGUGCUUUCUCUGUGGUCCGCAGGUGUGUGAAGAAAACCUCCACGCAGGAAUAUGCAGCAAAAAUCAUCAAUACCAAGAAGUUAUCUGCCCGGGAUCACCAGAAACUAGAACGUGAGGCCCGGAUAUGCCGACUUUUGAAACAUCCAAACAUUGUGUUACUGGCGGGGAGCUGUUUGAAGACAUUGUGGCCAGAGAGUACUACAGUGAAGCUGAUGCCAGCCACUGUAUACAUCAGAUUCUGGAGAGUGUUAACCACAUCCACCAGCAUGACAUCGUCCACCGGGACCUGAAGCCUGAGAACCUGCUGCUGGCGAGUAAAUGCAAGGGUGCCGCCGUCAAGCUAGCUGAUUUUGGCCUAGCCAUCGAAGUACAGGGAGAGCAACAGGCUUGGUUUGGUUUUGCUGGCACCCCAGGUUACUUGUCCCCUGAGGUCUUGAGGAAAGAUCCCUAUGGAAAACCUGUGGAUAUCUGGGCCUGCGGGGUCAUCCUGUAUAUCCUCCUGGUGGGCUACCCUCCCUUUUGGGAUGAGGAUCAGCAUAAGCUGUAUCAACAGAUCAAGGCUGGAGCCUAUGACUUCCCAUCACCAGAGUGGGACACGGUGACUCCUGAAGCCAAGAACUUGAUCAACCAGAUGCUGACUAUAAACCCCGCAAAGCGUAUCACAGCUGACCAGGCUCUCAAACACCCAUGGGUCUGCCAACGGUCCACAGUGGCAUCUAUGAUGCAUCGUCAAGAGACUGUGGAGUGCUUGCGCAAGUUCAAUGCCCGGAGAAAACUAAAGGGUGCCAUCCUUACGACCAUGCUUGUCUCCAGGAACUUUUCAGUUGGCAGGCAGAGCUCCGCCCCCGCCUCGCCUGCCGCGAGCGCCGCCGGCCUGGCCGGGCAAGCUGCCAAAAGCCUAUUGAACAAGAAGUCGGAUGGCGGUGUCAAGAAAAGGAAGUCGAGUUCCAGCGUGCACCUAAUGCCACAGAGCAACAACAAAAACAGUCUCGUAAGCCCAGCCCAAGAGCCUGCGCCCUUGCAGACGGCCAUGGAGCCUCAAACCACCGUGGUGCACAAUGCUACAGAUGGGAUCAAGGGCUCCACAGAGAGCUGCAAUACCACCACAGAAGAUGAGGACCUUAAAGCUGCCCCGCUCCGCACUGGGAAUGGCAGCUCGGUGCCUGAAGGACGGAGCUCCCGGGACAGAACAGCCCCCUCUGCAGGCAUGCAGCCCCAGCCUUCUCUCUGCUCCUCAGCCAUGCGAAAACAGGAGAUCAUUAAGAUCACAGAACAGCUGAUUGAGGCCAUCAACAAUGGGGACUUUGAGGCCUACACGAAGAUUUGUGAUCCAGGCCUCACCUCCUUUGAGCCUGAGGCCCUUGGUAACCUGGUGGAAGGGAUGGAUUUCCAUAAGUUUUACUUUGAGAAUCGUGAGUGGGUUCGUGCUGCUGAGAUACUCCUGCCUGCCCCUCACCCCCUGCUUGCUCGCCUUCUCCUCUUCCCCAUUGCCCGCGUUUCCCUUACUGACCUGCCUGCCACACCCUGGGCUGUGUGCUUGCCUCCUUGUGCCCAGAGGAUGGUCUUAAACUGUACCUUUGAAGGCCCUCCUCCAGCCCCGUGUGCCCCUCCAUCCUGCAGCUGCCCCUCAGCAAUGCCAGUUGCCAUGAUCAGGGUCACUGUAUUGCUUUAAGACUCACCUCUUUCCAAGAUGCUGGGAAACCAUUUGUGGUUAGGUUGAGGUGAUCUCAACGAGUCAUGAUGAAGCUCUGUGUCCGCAGGUUUUCACAAUAGAGGAAAUUAAAACCAGGAUAAGAAUGUGCAAGCGAGUAGCAGGGCACUGUGGGUGAUCGUGAGAUCAGAAGCUGUGGCUAGGGUCCUCCUCCUGGCCACGCAGGGAGACGGGAGGCCCAGCUGGGGCUGGGGUUUGGGGGGGUACCCUCUGGACAGUCCCUGCAAGUCCCAGAGGAUAAAGAAGCUGACCCAUCACCUCCCAGCUUUCUCUCCACUCUCUAAGACCAUCCUCCUCCUCAUUUUUUUCUCAUCUUUUGCACUUUAUUCUGGGCCUUCCCCAUCCUGCCCUUUUAUUUCCUCACUCUUUUCUCUACUAACUACCAUCCUCUCCAUGUCUCAGUUUCACCUAGGUUAGCUAAGUAAUUGUUAGCCAGGAGCAAUUCCAGAGUUUGUAGACGCUCCCUGGAAGGUCUCACGUAGCCCCUGACAUUAGAAUUGAACUGAAACGUGAAUCUCAAUAUAUGCAACACAAGGCACGGUGUUUGCUGGGAUAAUGCAAUCCCUCUUCUUUUGGUUCCCCCACUAGAGAAUCCUGGGAACCCUGGGGAAUAUACUGAGCUUGGUGCCUUAGUGAUCUUUUUUAAACUUUGGACCUUUUAAAAUCAGCAAUCAGUUUUAACUAUUUUAAGUUCUUGACUUUGCUCUACAGCCCUAAUUAUGGACAAACCAACCCUCAUGAAAGCUCAACUCGCCUAACAGUAGAAAGAUCAUCAUAGGCUUCCAUUAAGAUGGUCCUGAGUUCAAAUAUUGUGUGAUUUGGGCAAAUUACUUCACUUCCUUGAGCCUAUUUCCUCAUCUUAUAAUGAAGAAAAUAAUACUGACCAAGGAAUAUAGCUUAUACGUGUAAACCCCCCAGCACAAUGCCAGAUUAAAAUAGUAGCUGCUAUUAUCAUUUUUCCCUACCUUUCUCUUCCUUUUGAAUAACCAAGACUAAUCUGAUGGGAUUUCCUGGCCUCUGGAAGGUAUACAGGGGACUUGGAGACUCCACAAUGGUUGCAAGAGAGAGACAGACUUGGGAAGUGCGGGCUGGGAGGAAAAUGCCAGUGCCCAGGCCUGACACCCUCCUACCUACCCCACCCUACCCUGCUCCCUACAGUCUUAUCCAAGAACAGCAAGCCCAUCCACACCACCAUCCUGAACCCGCAUGUCCACGUGAUCGGAGAGGACGCAGCUUGCAUCGCCUAUAUCCGCCUCACCCAGUACAUCGAUGGGCAGGGUCGGCCUCGCACCAGCCAGUCGGAGGAGACCCGGGUCUGGCACCGCCGGGAUGGCAAGUGGCUCAAUGUCCACUACCACUGCUCAGGGGCCCCUGCCGCACCGCUGCAGUGAGCUCAGCCACAGGGGCAUAAGGAGAUCCCAGCCGGAGGUCAAACCUUCGCAGCCAGUGGCUCUGGAGGGCCUGAGCGACAGUGGCAGUUCUGUUCGUUUGAGGUUUAAAACAAUUAAAUUACAAAGCGGCAGCAGCCAAUGCACGCCCCUGCAUGCAGCCCUCCCGCCCGCCCUUCGUGUCUGUCUCUGCUGUACCGAGGUGUUUUUUACAUUUAAGGAAAAAAAAAAAAAAAAAAAAGAUUGUUUUAAAAAAAAAUGGGAUCCAUACCAUGAUGCGUUUUAAAACCACCGAUAGCCCUUGGACUAGCAAGAAGGCAGGAGUUUGUGUGAUGCCCAUCCUGGCACAAGCACUGGGCUCACCCACCAGCCCUGAAGAGGUGAGCUCAACCUCUGGCCUCCAUGGACUCGGGGGGCCAGGCAAAGACUGACAGAGCUUUGGGGGCUGUGAUGUGAUUGCAGCCCCUGAGGUGGCCUGCCCGCCCCAGGUCUAGGAAUGGACUUCUUCAGAAUUUGUAUACGCACCUAGAAUGAGGCUGAUGAGAAGAACAUCGUGGCCAUCAGACCUACUUGGGAGAGAACUCAGAGCUCCCAGCCUGCUGUGGAGGCAGCUGAAAAGCAGUGGCCUCAGGACUGAGAAGCAGUGGCCCGGACGUUGCUGUACUGUACCAUGUAGUGUAGAAGGGAAGAGAAUUGGUGCUGCAGAAGUGUGUCCGCUACGAAGCUGAUGAGAAACCUCGUGUUAGUCUGACAUGCACUCACUUACUCAUCCAUUUCUAUAGGAUGCACAAUGCACGUGGGCCCUGAUAUAGAGGCCCAAUCCUUGCAGCUGGGAAGUGGGAGGGGUUGCCGCUUUGCUUCGUGUUUGUUUUCUUAUAACUUAGCAAGGAGAGAGCCAGGCCUUGGUCUCGGCUCCCGCUGCUGCCCUUGGCAGUUCUGUUUCUGUGCUGAUUCGGACCAUCUUUGUCUUGCCUUUUCACAGUGGUGGUCCCUGUGCCGACCCUCAUCUGGGCCUGGGCCCUCUGCCAAGUGGGAUGGGAGGAGUAAGGCAGUGGGAUUGAGUUGAUGGUUGUUUCUAUGCAUUCAGGCUGCCCUCAGGGGUGCCUCCCUCCUUACUCUUCCCGUCCUGCACGCCCAUCUCUUUUCCUGUCUUUGAGAUUGACCUGACUACUCUGGCAAGAAGAGGAGGUGUCCUCUUUAAAGAGGCGUCUCUUUACUGACCACCUGAAGUACAGACUUAUUGCUGGACAGUCUGCAUGGGCAUCACCCCCACCCUCACCUGCAUGUACCCAAAAGAGAUGUCCAGAGCCAAGGCUCCUACAUUCAUUGUCCCUCUCUGUGCUCAAGGAGUUCCAUUCCAGGAGGGAAAAAUUUAUGCUUUAAGCAGACAGCAGAGAAGAUAAUGGAGGAGCAAUUGGUCAUGGCCUUGGUUCCCCCCAAAACAACUGUGCAGACCUGUCUGCACUAUUGGGGGAAAAGAUGGGUAGACCCUAGCUCCCCGGACUGCCUUAAGGAAGCACAGGAGCUGGGGGAAGAGGCAAAGCUACAGGUUUACCUUGGAGCCAGCUGAGAAGAGAGCAGACUUAUAGGUGCUGGUGCUUGGAUUUAGCCAGGCUCCUCGGAGCACCUCCUGCAUGCCCCAGCCCCUGGGCCCCUUACUGCCCUGCAGCCUGCAGUACCAGCACGCAGACACCUUCACCACAGGGUUUGGUUUUGCUGGCUUGAAGACAAAUGGUCUUAGAGUUCAUUAAGACCCAUAGCUUCAUAUGGCUGCUCCAGCCCCACUUCUUAAGCAUUCUUACUCCUCUUCUGGGGCUAAUGUCAGCAUCUAUAGACAAUAGACUAUUAAAAAAAAAAAACACCUUUUAAACAGGAAAUGGAAGGCAUUUGAUGCAGAAUUUUUGCAUGACGACAUAGAAAUAAUUUAAAAAUAGUGUUUGUUCUGAAUGUUGGUAGACCCUUCAUAGCUUUGUUACAAUGAAACCUUGAACUGAAGAUAUUUAAUAAAAUAACCUUUAAACAGUC